RNAcentral lists this ribosomal RNA (244 nucleotides) under uncultured bacterium. RNAcentral's name for it is "partial 16S ribosomal RNA". It matches the Rfam family "Bacterial small subunit ribosomal RNA", at positions 528 to 772 of the family's 1533-position model. The record is from RNAcentral.
GAGGAUGCGAGCGUUAUCCGGAUUUAUUGGGUUUAAAGGGUGCGCAGGCGGACCGUCAAGUCAGCGGUAAAAUGUCGGGGCUCAACCCCGGCCGGCCGUUGAAACUGGCGGACUUGAGUUGGAGAGAAGUAUGCGGAAUUCGUGGUGUAGCGGUGACAUGCAUAGAUAUCACGAAGAACUCCGAUUGCGAAGGCAGCAUACCGGCUCCACACUGACGCUGAGGCACGAAAGCGUGGGUAGCGAA